AACGAACGCUGGCGGCAUGCCUAACACAUGCAAGUCGAACGAUGGUCUUCGGAUCAUAGUGGCGCACGGGUGCGUAACGCGUGGGAAUCUGCCCUUGGGUUCGGAAUAACAGUUGGAAACGACUGCUAAUACCGGAUGAUGUCGAUAAGACCAAAGAUUUAUCGCCCGAGGAUGAGCCCGCGUCGGAUUAGCUAGUUGGUGGGGUAAAGGCCUACCAAGGCGACGAUCCGUAGCUGGUCUGAGAGGAUGAUCAGCCACACUGGGACUGAGACACGGCCCAGACUCCUACGGGAGGCAGCAGUGGGGAAUAUUGGACAAUGGGCGCAAGCCUGAUCCAGCAAUGCCGCGUGAGUGAUGAAGGCCUUAGGGUUGUAAAGCUCUUUUACCCGGGAAGAUAAUGACUGCACCGGGAGAAUAAGCCCCGGCUAACUCCGUG
RNAcentral lists this ribosomal RNA (436 nucleotides) under uncultured bacterium. Its description in RNAcentral is "partial 16S ribosomal RNA". It matches the Rfam family "Bacterial small subunit ribosomal RNA", at positions 29 to 507 of the family's 1533-position model. The record is from RNAcentral.